CACCUGCAUAUUGAUUGCAGGCUGGCAUCAGGUAUAAAGCUAAGCCGGUGCUUCUCUGGACUAUUCCUCCCAUGCAUUCAGCGCAAAGCAGCAGUAAAUGCUGGUACUCUGCGACGGACUGAUCGGCAAGAGUAGAUCAUAUGACAGCCACAGCGCGGCAGUUUGUUUUAUUCCGGCGUUGCGGAGAGAGGUGCUUGUGUGAUCCCCCACCAGUGAGAGUAUAGCGCCUCCGGUCCUGGGGGUUUGAUCGCUGCCUUCACCUCCGUGGCAACUCGCACAGCCUUAAUUGAAGAAUCAAGACGCCUGCCUAGCCGUUGUUGUGAGGGCUCCUCCUCGGUGGAGCCUGCUGUCUUGUCUUGUCUGGUUUUGAAUUGUUUUAUCUUGUCUUAUCUUGUUUUAUUAAGUAGGCCUACCAUUUCCUGUUUCGCCUGGUUUUAUUUUAUUUUAUCUCUGGACCGUUGCCUGUGCCCACGCUUCUGUGAUCGGGCUGAAGCAAUCCUUUGCCCGAGUGUCGUGCCGGGAAUUUUAAAUUGCCUCCGUCGCUGGUCUUAGCCUGUGGGGAGCCAGACCAGCUUGCGAUUGAGGCUUGGACAAUUACUACCAGUACGAGUGGACCCGUGGGGCAUAAGCCUUCCAGUGUGGUGUGUGUGUGCGUGUGUGCGAUUUCUUUUAUUAAAGUUAUUAAAGUGUGUUUUAGUUUUUUAUGAUCUGUAGCGAGCCAGACGCUCAGUGUCCCUUUUAUUCUUUUAACAUAUUUCUGUGUUUUAUUUCAGUGGAUGAAGGACGUGCCAGUGGCCCUGGGACCUCAGGUGGUGGGUCGUUUUCACACUUUCUUUUGUACAGCACCUGGUGGGCUGCAGUGAUUUUCGUUUUGUGUGAUUUUCUUUUGGGUCCACGGCUGCUGGUAAGUCCAAGUUCCAUGAUUGUUUUAUUUUCACUUUAGGACACUGUCAACAAUGACGCUACAUCUUGGUUUCUAAAUAUUUUAUUUAUUUUUACUAUAAUUAAAACUGUUUUAAUAUUGGAGCCAACCUGCCUCAGUGUGCAUCCCUUGAAUCUGUGCGGCCUCUUUUA
Oreochromis niloticus (Nile tilapia) is the source of this 1074-nucleotide long non-coding RNA. RefSeq lists it as uncharacterized. The transcript has 3 exons. The record is from RefSeq and is a predicted model, not a curated record. Lineage: Eukaryota; Metazoa; Chordata; Actinopteri; Cichliformes; Cichlidae.